Molecule: unclassified non-coding RNA, 240 nt
Filed under: soil metagenome
Description: partial contains 5.8S ribosomal RNA, internal transcribed spacer 2, and large subunit ribosomal RNA
Source: RNAcentral
AACAUCGCGCACCUGCGGGAACCUGCGGAGGGAUCAUCGGUGAAUUUUUAUGGUUGUUUAUAAAAAAAAUAGACAACAAUCCCCCAAAUUCUGUGAACAAAAAGUUGUGAAUGUGUGGGGGUUUGGGGGAAGAAGCAAUCUUCUCCCUUUCCCCCUCAAAAACACAAACGAAAUCCUUUUUUUAAUUUUUUUUAUUAUAUUAUUAUUUAUAUAUAUAAUAUUAUAUAUAAUUAAUAAUAC